This 1429-nucleotide ribosomal RNA is filed under the name Bifidobacterium pseudocatenulatum. RNAcentral describes it as "bacterial SSU rRNA". It matches the Rfam family "Bacterial small subunit ribosomal RNA". Lineage: Bacteria; Bacillati; Actinomycetota; Actinomycetes; Bifidobacteriales; Bifidobacteriaceae. The record is from RNAcentral.
CAUGCAAGUCGAACGGGAUCCAUCAGGCUUUGCUUGGUGGUGAGAGUGGCGAACGGGUGAGUAAUGCGUGACCGACCUGCCCCAUACACCGGAAUAGCUCCUGGAAACGGGUGGUAAUGCCGGAUGCUCCGACUCCUCGCAUGGGGUGUCGGGAAAGAUUUCAUCGGUAUGGGAUGGGGUCGCGUCCUAUCAGGUAGUCGGCGGGGUAACGGCCCACCGAGCCUACGACGGGUAGCCGGCCUGAGAGGGCGACCGGCCACAUUGGGACUGAGAUACGGCCCAGACUCCUACGGGAGGCAGCAGUGGGGAAUAUUGCACAAUGGGCGCAAGCCUGAUGCAGCGACGCCGCGUGCGGGAUGACGGCCUUCGGGUUGUAAACCGCUUUUGAUCGGGAGCAAGCCUUCGGGUGAGUGUACCUUUCGAAUAAGCACCGGCUAACUACGUGCCAGCAGCCGCGGUAAUACGUAGGGUGCAAGCGUUAUCCGGAAUUAUUGGGCGUAAAGGGCUCGUAGGCGGUUCGUCGCGUCCGGUGUGAAAGUCCAUCGCUUAACGGUGGAUCUGCGCCGGGUACGGGCGGGCUGGAGUGCGGUAGGGGAGACUGGAAUUCCCGGUGUAACGGUGGAAUGUGUAGAUAUCGGGAAGAACACCAAUGGCGAAGGCAGGUCUCUGGGCCGUUACUGACGCUGAGGAGCGAAAGCGUGGGGAGCGAACAGGAUUAGAUACCCUGGUAGUCCACGCCGUAAACGGUGGAUGCUGGAUGUGGGGCCCGUUCCACGGGUUCCGUGUCGGAGCUAACGCGUUAAGCAUCCCGCCUGGGGAGUACGGCCGCAAGGCUAAAACUCAAAGAAAUUGACGGGGGCCCGCACAAGCGGCGGAGCAUGCGGAUUAAUUCGAUGCAACGCGAAGAACCUUACCUGGGCUUGACAUGUUCCCGACCGCUCCAGAGAUGGGGCUUCCCUUCGGGGCGGGUUCACAGGUGGUGCAUGGUCGUCGUCAGCUCGUGUCGUGAGAUGUUGGGUUAAGUCCCGCAACGAGCGCAACCCUCGCCCUGUGUUGCCAGCACGUCAUGGUGGGAACUCACGGGGGACCGCCGGGGUCAACUCGGAGGAAGGUGGGGAUGACGUCAGAUCAUCAUGCCCCUUACGUCCAGGGCUUCACGCAUGCUACAAUGGCCGGUACAACGGGAUGCGACACGGCGACGUGGAGCGGAUCCCUGAAAACCGGUCUCAGUUCGGAUUGGAGUCUGCAACCCGACUCCAUGAAGGCGGAGUCGCUAGUAAUCGCGGAUCAGCAACGCCGCGGUGAAUGCGUUCCCGGGCCUUGUACACACCGCCCGUCAAGUCAUGAAAGUGGGUAGCACCCGAAGCCGGUGGCCUAACCCUUUGUGGAUGGAGCCGUCUAAGGUGAGACUCGUGAUUGGGACUAAGUC